CCCCUUUUGUGGCUCAUAAUUCUGAUGGACUGGGUUUUCACACCAUUGUCUGAGAUACGCCUCCCUCAAAUCUAGUUAUGAUAUUGGCAUAUUACCUAUCUGUUG
This 105-nucleotide small nucleolar RNA is filed under the name Ictidomys tridecemlineatus (thirteen-lined ground squirrel). RNAcentral describes it as "Spermophilus tridecemlineatus (thirteen-lined ground squirrel) Small nucleolar RNA U13". It matches the Rfam family "Small nucleolar RNA U13". The record is from Rfam by way of RNAcentral. Lineage: Eukaryota; Metazoa; Chordata; Mammalia; Rodentia; Sciuridae.